AGAUAGGCAUAAGGUGAUUUCUGUAUUAGCUAGUAUACUUAUUCAUUAGCUUUCGUAAUUAAAGCUAAUGCAAACAUAACAUCUCGAUCGUGAAAAUAAGCCAUAAAGCUAUGUGUGUGGAUACAGGAAUGCACUCAAAUGGGGAUAAUUAUUUCACAAAACAAGUGUCUGUUGUUUUUAUUCCUGUUAGAGUUUAGCUUUUAAGAAAUAAAAUCUUAUUCUUGUUUCCAAGGAAGUACAUAUUCGUUGUAGAAGAUCUAGAGAAUACCAGUCAGAUUUAGAGAAAUAUUGACUAUGCUUGUAAUAUUUCUAUGUGUGGUUAUGUAUCACACACCUGUCUAGGUAAGCGUAGUGUAUAAUUUACUUUCUAUCUCAAAUUUUCUAUCUCAAAUUUUAAUACAAAGCAUUAUACAAAAGGCCAUAAAUAUGAGAUAACCAGAUAACUGCCAAUAACUUGAUUGUCUAGUGGAUGGGCUGAUACUAUUAAAUAUAUGUAAGACUCCUUUUUGCUUGUUGGCUUCCAGACAUCUUAUCUGUAACUCAGACCGGUGAGUAUCAUUUUCACACAUGGUAAUGCCCACUAGUGAAUGAGACCAGAACAAAGAUUAGAUUCGAUAUUAAUGUUUGGUUACCUACUAGGCUUUCUUCCCACCUCGGUGACCUCUCCCCACCGAUUUUAAUAACCAGGCUGUUUCAAGUUUAGGUCUUCAUGAAUUUAUAAAUUCUGAUACACCACGGGCCUUAGCGCCAGAAGUUUAAAUGCCGACGACACGGAUGUCUACGGUGUUAAUGGAGCAACUUUUUAAAAACCCAUCUGUUAGAGCUCGUCCUUUCCAGGACGUGUUUUGGUGAACAUGGCCGCCUAAGAGGUUACGCAUCGUCUCCACAGUCUGGGACUGUCGUUCGUGAAUGUAUUGAUUCAGCAACACUGGGUGCUGUGUGUGCUGGCAUUUUCACAGGCCCUGUGGAUGUAACAAUGGAUGAGACACGUAGGCUGCCGUGUCAUGAGGGAGAGUGGUGACAGCCAGCCAUUGUGAGACAGGAGUUCAAGCUGUGAAGGGAAGGCGGCACAGGGGGGUAGGGCCUCCCGUCCCCCCGAGUCCCUGGAGUCCGGUGGCUUGUAAAAGCCAUGGGAGUUCUACACUAAAUACUGCGGGUGGGAAUUCCAGGGUGUUGGGGGAGGCGGUGAGAGAGGAAACAGUGUCCUAAAGAGAAGAAUGAAGAAGCAGACAUGAGCUCUGGUUGUCUUCCCUUACCCCAGACAUUAAAGACAUUCGCAAAACGACAGCACUCUUCUCAUCAUAUUUUUUGUUGGGGAAAAUACAGUUUUCAUAAAAAUAUAUGAGAUCUGUAGAUGUAUAUGUAAAAAGAAAGUGCAUGAGUCAUGAUGGCUGUAUUGAGGGCCAAGAAGGCCUGCUGGUUCGGGAGACCGUUAGAGCCACUUUGACCUUGGAAAAGCCCCAGGAUUUGGAAGAGGGUAUGGCGUGCAGUAGGUACUCCGCAAAUGCUUCCUGAUAAUUGACUGGCAAAAUGAUGGUUGUGCAGCUGCAAAAUCCUUGUUGAGGUCUAACCCCAGAUAGGUCCAAGCCUCGGACUGCUCCCUAAUUUGUUACCUCAGUUCCAGGAGUGCCCAAGUCAUCCGAACGAGAAAGUCCAGGCGGCCGAGGCACGCGGAACCGGCCUCCGCCUCUUGGGAUGCAGAUGCUCUGCUCAGGCCAGGAUUUCAGAGAGAGCUGGAUCACAUUUGGGUUAGCGGGUGCUGACUCAGUCGGGCUCUUGGUCUGUCCUCGUCCAAACCGUCAAGAACGUGUCCCGUCCCAGCCUCUUCAGAUCGUGCUUCCCGCGCUCCCCACAGGUGGGCGUCUCCUCCGAGCUGGUGUCUGACUUUCUUGAUGCCAUUCUCCGGGCAGAAGGUCCCCCUGCUCUGAAGCCCCGUCCGGCUCAGAGCUGCAGGGUGGACAGGGUUAUGUGACGGCAGGCGCACCUGCUGAUGUUUUGUGUCUGCCCAGACACUCCCGUGACGCCGCGAGGACUCUCCAUCCGUUGAAACUGGUCAAGUACAGAUGGUGACGAGCCCGCGGAAAGGUGCGCUGCAUCUCUGUCCUCUGGGAAACGCGGAUUAAAACCACGACGAAGUGGCAGCACCCAACGGUGAGAAAUGGGGACGUCCAAGACGCCGACAACACCAAACCCAGGGGAGGAGAAGGAGCAGCUGGGACUGUCGCACGCACGGAGGCUGGGAGAGCGAGAGGGUGUGGCCGCGCUGGAAGACGGUGCGUGGGCUUCUCAGGGAACUAAGCAGCGUCUGCCCACAUCAUCCAGCAUUGUGCUCCUUGGUGUUUACCCAGAGGAGCUGAGAACUUGCGUCUGCACGGAAACCGGCACACAGACGUGCGUAGUAGCUUCGUUCAUAGCCGCCAAAGCCCGGAGGCCGCCAAGACACCCUUCAGGAGGUGCUGAGUAAACGAACCAUGGCCCAUCCAGACACUGGAUCUUACUCAGCACCAAGAAGGAGUGAGCUCUCGGGCCAUGGGAAGACAGAGGGAACUUGCGGUCCGUGAUUACUAAGGGAGGAAAGUGGACGUCAAGACGCUCCCUACUGUAGGGUUCCAGUUCUGUGCCCUGCUGGGAAAGGCAGAACCCCAGAGACAGUAAACAGAUCUGUGGCUGCCUGGCGCUGGGGGUCACGGAGGUACAUAGGCCGUACCACGUCGGAUGUUCAGGGCAUAUGAUACUGUAUGAUACCACAUGAUACUGUAGUGGUGGGUACAUGUCAGUUGAUGUCCAAAACCCACAGACCUGCAGCACCAAUGGUGAAUGAUAAGAAAACUGUGGACUUUGGACGAGUAUGAUGUGUCACUGUAGGCUCAUCAGUUUGUAACAUACUUACGUUGCUGGUGGGAGAGGUGGUGCCUUUGUGGGGGAACAGCUGUCCGGGACGUCCCUGGACCUUCCUCCCAGUUCCAGUGUGAGCCUGAGGCUAAAACUGCUCUAAGAAAUAAAGACUUAACAAAAACAACAACUCGUCGAGCACCUGUGGGGCUCCGUCAUUUGUGCCUCCGACUCUUGAUUUCAGCUCAGGUCGUGGUCUCAGCGUCGUGAGAUGGAGCCCCCACGUCGUUGGCUCUGUGCUGAGUCGGGAUCUACUUCUUUCCCUUUCCCUCUCCUGCCCCUGCACCUGCUUGUGCACUCUGUCUCUGAAAUACACCUUUUUAAAAAAAUUAAAAACGAGUGAUCCAGUUUUGGUGUGAUCCGAUCAAUUAA
This is a long non-coding RNA of Lutra lutra (Eurasian river otter), 3264 nucleotides long. RefSeq lists it as uncharacterized. Lineage: Eukaryota; Metazoa; Chordata; Mammalia; Carnivora; Mustelidae. The transcript is spliced from 2 exons. The record is from RefSeq and is a predicted model, not a curated record.